GAGCGUAGUCUUGGUUCCAUCUGCCAGGUGAUGCUAUUAGAAGCCAAACAGACACAAUAUCCAUCCUUCUGAUUCAUUAAUGUGACUUUUCCCAAACACAUAAGCAUGGCUGUAUUUGCAAAAGCUGGGAAUACUGAGCACUCUGGACUUGACAUUUCAUUAUUUCCAGUGGCCCUGGCUACGUUCUGUCCUUUGGACUUUGCAUUCGCUCCUGUAUACUCACACCUCCAUAAACAAGGGGAAACCACAAAGUACAAGGGUGAUUGAACCUCUUCAGCUCUAAGUUUGGUGUUCAUACAUUUGGACUGUCAAAACAGCCUCUUAUCAGCUUCCAUGAAAAUGAUUGUGC
This 349-nucleotide long non-coding RNA is filed under the name Chinchilla lanigera (long-tailed chinchilla). RNAcentral's name for it is "lncRNA (ENSCLAG00000024246.1)". Lineage: Eukaryota; Metazoa; Chordata; Mammalia; Rodentia; Chinchillidae. The record is from RNAcentral.